AUUUUUUUUGCCAAUGGAAAAAAAUACGGUGUAACACCAUAAAAUGGAAGCUUGGCAAAAUUAUUUAUUGCUAUGGGUGCCAGUAAAAAAAUUCAACUUACGUUUUUUAUUUUUCAGUAUUUUUUUUGUUUGAAAUUAAACAAAACACAACUUACGUUUUUCAGCCUGCAACAUUUGAAGUUUUUUUGGUUUUUGAGAAAAGCAAGAAUGCAGGUUGCGUUUGUCAGAAAGAAUUUAUUAAUUUUUUUUAAAGUAAAACGCAGCUUGCGUUUGUCAGAUUGACUUAUUUAAAAUUUUUUGGACGAAGAGAAAAUGUAGGUUGCAUUUUAGUUGGGCCGAAAUUUUUUUUUUAAAUCUACAAAAUAUAGCUUACGUUUUGUUUGUGAAAUAAUAUUUUAAUAAAAAGUCUUGCAUAUAAAUUGCUAACGCAGCUAAUUUCAACUUGCACCUCACUUCUGCUUCCUCACUUGUACUCUCAUUUUCCUUUCUUUCAUGUAUUUUAUGCUUGUGAGAUUUUUUGGUUAUUAGAAGGGUAAAAAAAAGUGAGAAUAUGGAGAAUAUUGUAAAUAUACGAGUGUAUUAUAACGGUGAGAUUAUAUCGAACACAAACGAAAGAGUGACUUUUGUUUGUGAAUAUCCGUUUUCAUUUGCUAUUCCAUACGGCACGAGUUUUGUAGAGUUGCAAAAUGGUCUUUGUGUGAACAUACAAAGUCACAUUUCGAAAAAGGUGAGCAACAUUUUGUACAGGAAUCCUGUACAAGUAUUUGGUGGGAUGAUACAAUUUUAAAUAAUGUCCAUCCCUGAUGAAGCAAGCAUGCAGCAGAUGUUCUAUAUUUAUCGAUAAACCCGAUUUCACAUGCUAGUGAUAGAGCUGUACAUUGAGUUCGAACAACAUACGGGGCUGGACGCGUUUGACGAGGAGGUCAACGUUGACGAGCUCGGGGAUAUAGAUUGAGAAGAAGCUAACAACGACAGUGAAGAGGAGUUCGAAGCCAACUAUGAAGUCGAUGACGAAAAUGAUGACGGCCGCGGAGAUCUGGCAGGCAAUCCGGCGAUGCAUAAUGAGGCGGAUGAAAUCGUAAGUCAGCACCCGUUUGGUGUUCCGUCAUUUAUGCGUACUCUAGAUCUCGAAGUCAUGCAUGCCCCGAAAUUUCCUGAGUAUGUGAACAUGGGUGAAGGCAACACUGCGGCAGAAGAUGGUAAGUUUAGUGUUGGAAUAGAAUUUGGUUCGAGAGAGUCGGUGAUAUCUGCAAUCAAAAGCUACACUAUCUAUAGAGGAGCUGAUUACGCUGUGUAUGAGUUUGAACCGUAGACAUUCUAUGCAAAAUGCAAGGGUUAUGGUGCAGGUUGUGAUUGGCUUAUUCGAGCUAGCUUGAUUCGAAAGAAAGCUUGUUGGGAGAUCAGAAGAUAUAAUGGCAAACACACGUGCACCGUAGGCAUGAUUUCACAAGAUCAUGCCAAUUUGGACUCAGACACAAUUGCAGAAGCUAUUAGGCCAUUGGUCGAAGCAGAUCCGUCGAUAAAGGUGAAGUCUAUUAUUGCAGAAGUUCAAUCCAAGUUCAAUUACACUUUAAGUUACCGCAAGACUUGGUUGGCAAAGCAGAAAUCUGUCGCAAAAAUUUUCGGUGAUUGAGAAGUUUCUUACCAGACUCUGCCAGUAUGGUUGAAAGCAAUAACUAUGAAGAUGCCAAGGUCUCGUGUUCAAAUUAAAAUGCUCCCCGUUUACCGUGAGAGUUAAGAGGUUUAAGGUGUAAGAGUUCUGCACCGCAUUUUUUGGAGCUUCUAUCCGUGUAUUGUAGCAUUCAGACAAUGCAAGCCACUGGUGCAGGUUGAUGGCAUGCACCUGUACGAAAAAUAUAAAGGUAUACUUCUAGUAGCGAUUGCAAAAGAUGGGAACCAAAACAUUAUGCCUAUUGAAUUUGCGAUAGUCGAGGGCGAGACGGUAGACACAUGAGAGUUUUUUCUAAUCAAUUUGUGGAAAUAUGUUGUUACCAUUGAUAGUGUGGGUAUUAUUUCUGACCGCCAUACCUCCAUCAACGCUGCAAUAGCUUGCAGUAACAGUGCAAGGUCACCACCAAAAAUAUGGUACAUGUACUUGUACAUCGGGUCCAACUUCUUAAAGAGGUUCAAAACUCCAUAUUUGUAUAAACUUGUGGUGAAUAAUAAUAAUAAUAAUAAUAAUAUCUCA
This is a non-coding RNA of Arachis ipaensis, 2188 nucleotides long. NCBI's taxonomy places the organism in Eukaryota, Viridiplantae, Streptophyta, Magnoliopsida, Fabales, Fabaceae. The record is from RefSeq and is a predicted model, not a curated record.